Molecule: long non-coding RNA, 2183 nt
Organism: Apus apus (common swift)
Lineage: Eukaryota; Metazoa; Chordata; Aves; Apodiformes; Apodidae
Exons: 2
Source: RefSeq, a predicted model, not a curated record
UCAAACUUAAGUAUGAAUAAGAAAAUACAUUUAAUGUGCAUUAUACCUUGCAUGAGACCACAUAUGUUUGUAUUUUAAUAAUAAGCAGUAAAAUAAGGCAACGCUGCAGCCACAGUAUUAAUUUUAUUCUCAAGGUUUGCUAUUUUCCGUUUUGACUGUUUGUGCAUGUUUGCAUGUGUUGGAUUUUGUUUUGUUUUACUUUUUAAAUUGGAUUUGUAUCAGUUAAAAGAUAUGUAUCAGCACUAAGUAGUUGUAUAGUGUUGUAUGUCUGGUAAAUAACUGCAGUGACUUAAUUCUUGUUGCAGCUGGUUUAGUAGGCCAUAGUUUCUCCAUAUAGGCCAUUACAAUGUGAGUGUUCUUGCUGCAGCUAUGCCCUAGGUGAUUUUGGCAGCCUUCCAGCUGCUUCCUCACAGAGUUUUGCAGUUGUCCAUACCAAGUGUCUCCUGGCCUUGAGUCAUGGAGACUGGAUGUCAUCUUCCUCUUUUAAAUCUUGGUGUGCAGCCAGGUUUGGUUGUUUGCUCUAAAUGUUUCAAGACCUAGUAUACAUAGCGAUCAGGCUUAACAUUUUGCUCUGAUAAUGUCAUACCUUUGAGCCAUGCAAAUAGUUUGGAUGUUCUCAAUCCCUGCUAAGAGGCAAAGAUCAAGAAAUCCUGAAGUCCAGGCAUGCAGAUUUCUUCAAGAAUAUCUUUAUAAUGAGACAGCUAUAUACUUGUACCCCCUUGAAACCUUGCUGUAUCAAAGCAGAGGAUAUGAAGAUUACUUGCAAGUAAGAAAAAGAAAAGAUGGUUCUUCAGCAAUACUCUGUUCAUGUCAAGACAGCAUUUUGAUUUGGGAUACCAGCAUAGGAUUCAUCUUGGUCUUGGAUUCAGCUAAUACAUGAGGACUCUUUGAUGGAUGAUCACUUGCCAUGAAGCUUGAAUUCUUCUUGAUAUUUGGAGGCCCACAUUGACAUCCAGCUCUGCUGAUCCAUUGCUGCCUAAACUUCUGCCUGUAAAAACACCCUGACUGCUAGCAGCAUGCAGAAGAAUCUGAAUUUGUGCCUGAGGCAUCCCUUCCAGCACUUUCUGACAUUUGAAACUUGGAAGACAAGUGAAGAAAAGGAAAGCAGAAGAGAAAUUUACUGGAGCUUCCAAGAAAUUAGAGGUGUGGACAAGGUUUCUGCAAGAGGAAAAGCAAAGGGCCAGAGAAAUAGGACUGACCUUCAUGUGACCAAGGAGAAGGCCAGGAACGGGUUGGCAAUAAACAGGAAGCUGGUGGAAGAGUGUAAAUCAUCCAAGGGCAGAGCCUUGCUGAAAUCUGGAAUACUGGAAGCAGAGAAAUGCGAAAGCAUCUGGGUAGAGAUAAUGAAUCUACAAACAUAAUUAUCAGAAAUGCUGUGCUUUGUCAGGCACCUCCCACAGUGAACCUUGGGGCAGUUACUACAUUAAUAGGACUUCCCCUGGAUAUGCUGUUCUACAAAUUCUAUAGAACAGUUUUUCUACUGGAAACGAACUGUCUUUUUAUUUGCAUUGAAAACAUGAACAUGGGAGAUGGAAGUUUUAACUGAAACAUGGGGUUGAUGUUUGGCUACUAGAAAUUCUGGGAUUGUUGAGUGACCACCAGGAAGAAAGGCCAGAGGAAAAAUUAACUUUCUUUUUUGCAUAGGCUAGAAAUUUAGAAGCUGGACAAGGUCAUAGAGAGUAUGUCAGUGAAGGUAUUUAAACAUACAGAAAAACAUGUCUGUCUUGGGAAGUCACUUCUUGCAAAUGGUUAGAAGCUGAGUAAGUAUUUGGAAAGGCAGAUCAUGUCAAUACAUGCAUUCUUGCUCCAUUUUAUAUUUUUCCUUAGUUGUGUAUACAAAGCUUUGGCCACUCACAGACAGGGUACUGCACUGGAUGGACUGGCUUGACCUACUACAGCUGUUUUUACAUACAGACUGCAGUUUACCACAGUAUCUCAGCAUUUUAAUUGCUGGAAACAAAUUUAGUUUCUUCCUCUCAAAGUUGGAAAAGGUUAUAUUUGUAUAACUUUCCAGUGCAUUUAUGAGCAAAAGUUAAUAACUUUAAGUAUAUUACAGAAUCUGUAUAAUUACACUAUCUUGAUAGCAUACCUACAGUACUUUCAUAAAUUCAUUGUUGAGUAUGAGUGAGGCACAAAAAGUUUGUGUGUUGAUUUAAAAUAAAUAAAUCCAAAAUGUGUCCAUA